GAUGAAGAACGUAGCGAAAGGCGAUAAGUAGUGUGAAUUGCAGAAUUCAGUGAAUCAUCGAAUCUUUGAACGCACAUUGCGCCCCUUGGUAUCCCGGGGGGCAUGCCUGUUCGAGCGUCAUUAUAACCCCUCAAGCUCAGCUUGGUGUUGGGGCCUGUCGACUGGCAGCCCUUAAAAUCAGUGGCGGCGCCAUCUGGCUCUAAGCGUAGUAAUUUCUCUCGCUAUAGAGUCCCGGUGGAUGCUUGCCAGCAACCCCCAACUUUCUAUGGUUGACCUCGGAUCAGGUAGGGAUACCCGCUGAACUUAAGCAUAUCAAUAAGCGGAGGA
This 327-nucleotide unclassified non-coding RNA is filed under the name soil metagenome. RNAcentral describes it as "partial contains 5.8S ribosomal RNA, internal transcribed spacer 2, and large subunit ribosomal RNA". The stretch from base 1 to 120 matches the Rfam family "5.8S ribosomal RNA", at positions 35 to 154 of the family's 154-position model. The record is from RNAcentral.